Planococcus citri (citrus mealybug) is the source of this 645-nucleotide long non-coding RNA. RefSeq lists it as uncharacterized. The transcript has 3 exons. The record is from RefSeq and is a predicted model, not a curated record. NCBI's taxonomy places the organism in Eukaryota, Metazoa, Arthropoda, Insecta, Hemiptera, Pseudococcidae.
CUUUACGCAUUACCUACCUACGUUUGUAUGUAGCAAUACAACUGAAAAACUGAAUUACAUCUGUGGCACCGGCACCUUGAGAAGUUUAAAUUCUUUUUAGUGUAUUUUUUUUUGUUUGAAUAGAUACGGUUUGCGUUCAAUUGAUUUCCAAUAUUAGACAAAUUAUGGCUAUUAAAUCAUUAGCGUUGUGUGCUGUCGUUUUCAUCAUCAGUUUCACUUCAACCGAAUCGUCAUUCCUCUGUGAUAUCGCAAGGCUCGGUAAAGAACAUGUACAAUGCACCACUUGUGAUUUCUUGACUUUCGGUCAAGAGGACAUCGGAUUUGGGAUUUCUUUGGCUUGCCCCUUCACAACAGCGGAAGAGAGUUACUGCUGCUAUGAUGUGAGGCGUCGACCUUUCUGUUGUAAUUCAAAGACGCAUCUUCUUAAUGGAAUAUUUUGGAUUGCAGCGGCAUUGUUGAUCAUCUAUGGCGUUAUCAAAAUCGUAAAAUGUUUGUUUAAUUCGUAAUUACCUACCUACAUAUUUUGAUUUAGGUAUCUGUAUCUUAAGUAAUAAUUUGAAUAUGAAAAUUUGUUCGAAUUAUUUUGUAUUCGAUAAUUAUUUUAUAUACCUAUUAUCUUUUUUUUUUAAAGAAGGAGGGUCAUUA